AAAAAUCCUUUGAAGGGAAUGAGUAAUUUACUCAAGUAAAUAACAGAGAGCCGAUGUUUGGUGCAAGUCGAUGUUUACCGGUAGAUGAAAAUCCUCCCUGAGGUGCAGACCUGAAUUAUUUAAUUAAGGGCUGACGUAAUUUCCACGUUAUAGGAAACGCGUAUGUUAGUACGUUGUAGAGCGUCUGAAUUAUUUUCAGGAACCUGGGUGGUAACGCGGCAUAGCCGUCCCUCAA
RNAcentral lists this non-coding RNA (235 nucleotides) under Dialister micraerophilus. RNAcentral's name for it is "T-box sequence". It matches the Rfam family "T-box leader". Rfam says of the family: Uncharged tRNA acts as the effector for transcription antitermination of genes in the T-box leader family. The record is from RNAcentral. Lineage: Bacteria; Bacillati; Bacillota; Negativicutes; Veillonellales; Veillonellaceae.